AUUGAACGCUGGCGGCAGGCCUAACACAUGCAAGUCGAGCGGAUGAAGGGAGCUUGCUCCUGGAUUCAGCUACGGACGGGUGAGUAAUGCCUAGGAAUCUGCCUUGUAUUGGGGGAUAACGUCCGGAAACGGGCGCUAAUACCGCAUACGUCCUGAGGGAGAAAGUGGGGGAUCUUCGGACCUCACGCUAUCAGAUGAGCCUAGGUCGGAUUAGCUAGUUGGUGGGGUAAAGGCCUACCAAGGCGACGAUCCGUAACUGGUCUGAGAGGAUGAUCAGUCACACUGGAACUGAGACACGGUCCAGACUCCUACGGGAGGCAGCAGUGGGGAAUAUUGGACAAUGGGCGAAAGCCUGAUCCAGCCAUGCCGCGUGUGUGAAGAAGGUCUUCGGAUUGUAAAGCACUUUAAGUUGGGGGGAAGGGCAGUAAGUUAAUACCUUGCUGUUUUGACGUUACCAACAGAAUAAGCACCGGCUAACUUCGUG
This 484-nucleotide ribosomal RNA is filed under the name uncultured bacterium. Its description in RNAcentral is "partial 16S ribosomal RNA". It matches the Rfam family "Bacterial small subunit ribosomal RNA", at positions 30 to 507 of the family's 1533-position model. The record is from RNAcentral.